This 730-nucleotide ribosomal RNA is filed under the name uncultured bacterium. Its description in RNAcentral is "SSU rRNA". It matches the Rfam family "Bacterial small subunit ribosomal RNA", at positions 505 to 1235 of the family's 1533-position model. The record is from RNAcentral.
GUGCCAGCAGCCGCGGUAAUACGGAAGGUGCAAGCGUUAAUCGGAAUUACUGGGCGUAAAGCGCGCGUAGGUGGUUUGUUAAGUUGGAUGUGAAAGCCCUGGGCUCAACCUAGGAACUGCAUCCAAAACUAACUCACUAGAGUACGAUAGAGGGAGGUAGAAUUCAUAGUGUAGCGGUGGAAUGCGUAGAUAUUAUGAAGAAUACCAGUGGCGAAGGCGGCCUCCUGGAUCUGUACUGACACUGAGGUGCGAAAGCGUGGGUAGCGAACAGGAUUAGAUACCCUGGUAGUCCACGCCGUAAACGAUGACAACUAGCUGUUGGGAGACUAUGUCUUUCAGUGGCGCAGCUAACGCUUUAAGUUGUCCGCCUGGGGAGUACGGCCGCAAGGCUAAAACUCAAAUGAAUUGACGGGGACCCGCACAAGCGGUGGAGCAUGUGGUUUAAUUCGAUGCAACGCGAAAAACCUUACCUACUCUUGACAUACUUGGAGGCUCUUGUAAUGAGAGUGUGCCUUUUGGAACCAAGAUACAGGGUGCUGCAUGGCUGUCGUCAGCUCGUGUCGUGAGAUGUUCCGUUAAGUCGGAUAACGAGCGCAACCCUUACCCUUAUUUGCCAGCGAUUCGGUCGGGAACUAUAAGGGGACUGCCGGUGAUAAACCGGAGGAAAGUGAGGACGACGUCAAGUCAUCAUGGCCCUUACGAGUAGGGCUACACACGUGCUACAAUGGGA